RNAcentral lists this ribosomal RNA (479 nucleotides) under Vespericola sp. MED17-55. RNAcentral describes it as "partial 16S large subunit ribosomal RNA". It matches the Rfam family "Archaeal large subunit ribosomal RNA", at positions 2000 to 2678 of the family's 2987-position model. Lineage: Eukaryota; Metazoa; Mollusca; Gastropoda; Stylommatophora; Polygyridae. The record is from RNAcentral.
UUAAAUAGCCGCAGUACUUUGACUGUGCAAAGGUAGCAUAAUCAAUUGUCUUAUAAUUAAAGUCUAGGAUGAAUGAAUAUAUGGGGGAAAACUGUUUCCUGAGGAUAUAGGGAAUUUACUUAAAAAGUGCAAAUACUUUUAUUUACAUAUUAGACGAGAAGACCCUAGAAAUUUUUGUAAAAUAAAUUUACUUUUAAAUAUUUUGUUGGGGCGACAAGGUAACAUAUAACUUACUUUUAUUUACUUGCAUAGUAGUUUUAAGAAAGAUAAAAUUACUCUAGGGAUAACAGCAUAAUAUUUUAAAGUUUGUGACCUCGAUGUUGGAUUAGGAAAGAUAGGGGUUUAGAAGAAUCCUAUCUAUGCUCUGUUCGAGCAAUUUUCCCUACGUGAUCUGAGUCAGACCGAAUUAAGGAAUAUGAUUAGGUGUAGAAGUUUAAUUAAUAAGUCUGUUCGACUUUUGAAUCCUUACGUGAUCUGAG